Molecule: unclassified non-coding RNA, 262 nt
Filed under: plant metagenome
Description: partial contains small subunit ribosomal RNA and internal transcribed spacer 1
Rfam family: Eukaryotic small subunit ribosomal RNA (bases 1-46)
Source: RNAcentral
AAGUCGUAACAAGGUUUCCGUAGGUGAACCUGCGGAAGGAUCAUUACAAAUAAAGCUGGUAGGAAGUGGGGUCUUGAUCUGUAAGUGGUAGAGCGAACAGUCCGGCUGCCUCCCGAAAUGUCUUACAUGUCCCCCACCAGCCUGCAGGCAGGCAUAUCAACCACUUGAUUAUCUACACUUGUUGCUUUGGGGUGCUCAAGUGCCCCAGAGGACCCAACUCUCUUGCAUUUAGUGACGUCUGAGUACUAUAUAAUAUUUAAAA